GUGCUCACUUCGGCAGCACAUGUACUAAAAAUUGGAACGAUACAGAGAAGAUUUGCACAAAGAUGACACACAAAUGCAUGAAGCUUUCCAUAUUUUU
Molecule: small nuclear RNA, 97 nt
Organism: Equus asinus (donkey)
Lineage: Eukaryota; Metazoa; Chordata; Mammalia; Perissodactyla; Equidae
Source: Ensembl